This 413-nucleotide unclassified non-coding RNA is filed under the name Hevea brasiliensis (rubber tree). The record is from RNAcentral. Lineage: Eukaryota; Viridiplantae; Streptophyta; Magnoliopsida; Malpighiales; Euphorbiaceae.
CUCAAGAGGUAUUUGUUGGUUUACUUUCACGGUAUCUUGUCUUUGGGUUGUGUUGGUUGUGUUUCACUUGCAAUGUGUAAAUUUUUUUGGUCCCUGUGAAUGUGAUAUCUUGUACAAAAGCUUCUUUCAAUUACCUCAUCACCUGUAGUUGGCUGUCGGAAUUUCUUUCCUCAGUCUUUGGACAGUGGCUGCCUUGUUGGUUGGUUUCAUUUAGAUUAUGUUCUACUAUGGAGAACUAAGAUAUUUUGUGCAUUAUUGUCUCAAUAAUCUGUGAAUUUUUGUUUUAGCACAGUUUUCUAAUUUAUUGGUCUUUUUUAAUUUAUUUUCUUAUUUUUUUGAUAAAUGGCUUGUGGUAGUUAUUAUCUUCUAAUUUACUCAUCAUUUCCUGCAGAUAAUGUAUAAGCAAGGUCUGG